Molecule: non-coding RNA, 216 nt
Filed under: Leptolyngbya sp.
Lineage: Bacteria; Bacillati; Cyanobacteriota; Cyanophyceae; Leptolyngbyales; Leptolyngbyaceae
Also listed under: 1 other name
Source: RNAcentral
GAUCCUAUCCACUGAAUCGGUUCUAGCGGGGAACAGCCGCUAGAGUUAACGGGGAAAGCGCAGUGAAAAUCUGCCACUGUCCCGCAGCUGUGAAGCAGGUUCUGACCUUUUACUGCGCCCAAGGCUUAAAGUCUUGUCGUGGAAAAGAAUUCAGGUUUUAGCCUGGAUGGAGUCGUACCUCUGAGUCAGAAUGCCCGCCGAUGCUGAUUACCCCAA